AUUGAACGCCGGCGGCAGGCCUAACACAUGCAAGUCGAACGGUAACAGAAAGCAGCUUGCUGCUUUGCUGACGAGUGGCGGACGGGUGAGUAAUGUCUGGGAAACUUCCUGAUGGAGGGGGAUAACUACUGGAAACGGUAGCUAAUACCGCAUAACGUCGCAAGACCAAAGAGGGGGACCUUCGGGCCUCUUGCCAUCGGAUGUGCCCAGAUGGGAUUAGCUAGUAGGUGGGGUAACGGCUCACCUAGGCGACGAUCCCUAGCUGGUCUGAGAGGAUGACCAGCCACACUGGAACUGAGACACGGUCCAGACUCCUACGGGAGGCAGCAGUGGGGAAUAUUGCACAAUGGGCGCAAGACUGAUGCAGCCAUGCCGAGUGUAUGAAGAAGGCCUUCGGGUUGUAAAGUACUUUCAGCGGGGAGGAAGGGAGUAAAGUUAAUACCUUUGCUCAUUGACGUUACCCGCAGAAGAAGCACCGGCUAACUCCGUG
This 490-nucleotide ribosomal RNA is filed under the name uncultured bacterium. Its description in RNAcentral is "partial 16S ribosomal RNA". It matches the Rfam family "Bacterial small subunit ribosomal RNA", at positions 30 to 507 of the family's 1533-position model. The record is from RNAcentral.